GUUUAGAGAAGUUAGAGACUGUGGUGGGAGUUUUCAGGUGUGUCAGGAAACAUUUAGGCAUACAGACAGAAGGUGGCUGCUUUGGCCAGUCAUUAUUCUGCACCAGAGUGCUGGGAUUUCCCUUCAGCUCUUGUUUUUACUCGAUUUGAUGACUUCUUGGCUCAUGUUUUACACUUGAAAGCCCUUUUCUCCACUAUGCUGGAGUUCCAAAGGUUGGAGAAGCUGGUUUUUGGAGGUCUCAGAGGAAGGGUUUACACUGAGCAGGUCUCUCGACUACAUACAGAGUUUCUCCAGCUCUGCAAAACCAUAAGGGAUCAAGAAUACAAUCCAUCUGACCUGACUGCUCAGAUUUUUCAGGAUUGGAAUCAGUUUUCAAACUGGUCGCUGUGCUCAAAGCCCUCUUGGAAAGAGAC
This is a long non-coding RNA of Cyprinus carpio carpio, 413 nucleotides long. The record is from Ensembl. NCBI's taxonomy places the organism in Eukaryota, Metazoa, Chordata, Actinopteri, Cypriniformes, Cyprinidae.